Molecule: long non-coding RNA, 240 nt
Filed under: Homo sapiens (human)
Lineage: Eukaryota; Metazoa; Chordata; Mammalia; Primates; Hominidae
Description: HSALNT0352000
Source: RNAcentral
UAAAUAAACAAAAGUUCUUACCAUUUUCUAAGAAGCUUUAUGUGACCAUCUCCCCAUGGAGUGUGAUCUCAUCUCCUCUGCUGUAUCACAUUGGCAUCCUUAGUGGAACCUCACGGGAUGCAAAAUUUUUCCAAGGGAUGUGCAUCUGCAGACAGUUUUAAGGGACUAUUGUCAAGAACUGUGAAGGAUCUGAGCUUACAAGUUAGCCUGCUUCAGUUUUAUGGAUGCUGGCAGAAGACA